GCGAAACGGUCCUGUAAGCAGUAGAGUAGCCUUGUUGUUACGAUCUGCUGAGGGUAAGCCGUCCUUCGCCUCGAUUUCCCCAAUGGGUUCUCCGGAUUUCUGGAGACUUGUAGGGGUUGUGGGUUUUUCGAUGUGUCGUCUCCGGACGGGCGGUGCAGGGUAUUCGAGUUAGACUUGGUGGAAUUCCGUCGAUAGGAGUUCCGUCGAGUCUGGUCGGCUGUGUGUUGGACGGUGCAGGGUAGGCUGCUUGGACAUGGUCGGUUCGAGGAUCGAUUCGAGGGCCGGCCCGUCGAUGAUGUGUGAUGUAUGCGGUCUAGGGUAGGCUGGUUUGUCUUGGUCCAAGUUGAUGUCGGCUCCCGUGCAGGCCAGAGUGAGGGGGGUCCAGGGUAGGUCCAGGGUAGGCAGCUUAGACUUGGUCGAUCUGGAGGUCGAUUCUCCGGCUGGCGGAUCUGACACUGUCGAAACGAGAUGCGAGCGGUGUAGGGUAGGCUAGUUUCGUCGCCGACAGUUUUCUGUGGGUGUAUGGUAGGUACAGGGUAGGCAAAUCUCUCUCCGGCCAGUACUUGUCUGGUGGUCGUGAGUCGAUUUUUUUGUUUUGCCAUACUAUUGAAUUUUGCGGAAAUUCAAAAGUGGCUCGGGAGUCCCGCCUGGCGUGCGUCCGACUCGAACAUCGUCGGUGUACAUAUGAGAGGGAGUAAUCCGGCCCGGCCGGGGCCCAUCGCGAGCUGCCGGGUAGGUAAAAGUAAAAAAGUUGUUAAGAGGCGCGGUGUCGGCGUGCUUGUAUUUGCGGGAGAGAAUUAUCUGGAGGUGCUGGGUAGCCGGGAAGACUUGGACGGAUCUGGCCCGGGAAUGGGUCUGGGCCUGGAUUCUGGUGUGGUGUAGGGUAGGCGUAGAUAGAUGAGUGGUCUAGGGUAGAUACAGGGUAGCCAGAAGUCUGGUAUAUAGUAUGGGGGGUGUAGGGUAGGUCUGGACACCGUUUUCCACUUCGCCCUUCCCUUUACUCGAGGGAGGACGAUCUUGGCUAGGACGGAGGUGUAGGGUAGGCUUAAUUUACGAUUACAUGAUCUGUGUCGCUCUAGGGUAGGUGAAAAUCCCAUAUAUAUCUGAUCACAUUUGGUGAAGAGGUGGUUUGGCUGGUGAGAUGGACAAAAGUGCAAUGUAGAAUUAUAUGUGAUUUUCCAAAAGUGGGUGUGAAAUUGGAAAGUUGGUUUUCCCGCACAGAUGAGAGCACGCUUGAGGUGCCAUGAGAUGCGCCUCUCCGAGACGAUCCCAACGGGACCACCCAUGUGUCGGUCGGGCUCCUGUGCGGCCGUCCAGGGCGGGAUAAGUAAAAGAUGUGGUGGUGUAGGGUAGGUAGAUAGGUCCAGGGUAGGUUCGCCAGAUCCGUCAAUUCGGCUUGAAUGGAAGGACAGGUCUAGGGUAGGCCAGAGUCGGGUCUAGGGUAGGCAGCUCUCACCCUCGAAGUGGCCUACCCGGCAGUCAACUUCAAUCGCCUCUCACGGCCGCCACGGACCUCGCAUGAUGACGGGAUCACCACCAUCGGAUUUGCCUUGGUCGAAAUAGUCGGUAUAUGCACUUUUGAAAAAAUGCGUGCGAAAUGGUUUUGUGGUUUGGUGGCCGUGAGUCGAUUUUUUUGUUUUCCCAUACAAAUGAAUUUUGCGGAAAAUAAAAAGUGGCCCACGAGGCAGCUCUGGCGUGCGGCCCACUAAAACGGUCUCGGAGGGUAUAUGAGAAGGGAGCAAAUCCGGCCGAGCCUGAAAGGGUGAGGACAAACCGGGCGAGCAACCUCUCAGUAUCAGAUCUUGCAGACUUCCACUGCGUGUCCCUCUGUACAGCUUUGCAGGCUCCGGCCUCGGCAGCGGGGGGUUCAUAGUGGUCGUCGACCUCCACGAAACUGCACGCUCCGGCGUGACAGCGUACUGGGGAUGCCUGUGUAGAUGCAGUCCGGGCUUGCCUGGACCGCUAGCAGAUGGGCUCUGUGGAUGACUGGCCGCUGGCUAGACCUGAAACCUGAGCAACGGGAGGUAACCUCUCGCCGCGGA
RNAcentral lists this unclassified non-coding RNA (2042 nucleotides) under Fusarium oxysporum. RNAcentral describes it as "partial 28S-18S ribosomal RNA intergenic spacer". The stretch from base 1 to 79 matches the Rfam family "Eukaryotic large subunit ribosomal RNA", at positions 3320 to 3401 of the family's 3401-position model. The record is from RNAcentral. Lineage: Eukaryota; Fungi; Ascomycota; Sordariomycetes; Hypocreales; Nectriaceae.